This is a long non-coding RNA of Struthio camelus australis, 858 nucleotides long. RefSeq lists it as uncharacterized. The record is from RefSeq and is a predicted model, not a curated record. Lineage: Eukaryota; Metazoa; Chordata; Aves; Struthioniformes; Struthionidae.
CUUCAGCUUCAGUACUAAUAGGCGCAUCCCAAGUACCGAGGAUUUCUGCAGUACGUAUACAGCAGCUUAGAGAAAACAAACUAAAAAUCAGCUCUUGUAGUGCAUCUACAAUUCCUUCCAUUGUUUUCAUAGAGCUCUCACAAAAACAACUGCAAGCCAAGGAUUUAGACUAGAAAUCAACGUAACAGCUUCAUUAUUCUUCCUCUGGUCUCCAUCCUGUGUUUUGCUGACAGACGAUGUCAAAGCCAGAACACAUGUACAGUUAUAAAAUUGUGGAUCUCUGAAAGCAGAUGAUUCAUAGAAGCAACGUAACCUGGCAGAAUACUUGGAAUACAAAGAUACUGGCAAUUUCCUAGAGCAGAUACUUUAGCAUCAGAACAACCAGGACCCCUGCACUGAAAGCAGUGGCUCAAGGCGAAGUAGAUGGCUCAGACUCAGCUUCUCACAGAGGUUUUGACAACUUGAGGAAUCCCUCAUGUGGCAUCUAAAAGCCUGUCUUCUGCACCUGACCCUGCCAUACAGAGGGUGAAGAGAGAAGGGUACUUCCGAAUCCAAAACCAAGCAUGCCAUCAGUGGGAAUGGGCUUCUCUCCUGGCUCUGCCAAAGGUGGCCUCCAACUCUACCAGCCUGUGCGCACAGCUACGAAAGCCUUGUAGCCUUUCACAGAAAAAAGGAAGCAGCAGCAGCAGCAGUUUUCAUUGAUCAGGAAUAACUUGUUGUUCGUGGAUUCUGACCUCUCAUCUCCAGCACCUAGGCAGACUCCAUCUGUUGGUGUUACUGAUCCUGCUCAUUUUUUGCAGGCUGGGGUGAGAUGAUGAUAAAUACACUGAAAUAGGAUAAACCUGCUGUAACAUGAAA